RNAcentral lists this ribosomal RNA (223 nucleotides) under Xanthomonas citri pv. citri. RNAcentral describes it as "partial 16S ribosomal RNA". It matches the Rfam family "Bacterial small subunit ribosomal RNA", at positions 1319 to 1533 of the family's 1533-position model. The record is from RNAcentral. Lineage: Bacteria; Pseudomonadati; Pseudomonadota; Gammaproteobacteria; Lysobacterales; Lysobacteraceae.
CAUGAAGCUGGAAUCGCUAGUAAUCGUAGAUCAGCAUGCUACGGUGAAUACGUUCCCGGGCCUUGUACACACCGCCCGUCACACCACGAGAGUUUGUAACACCCGAAGCCGGUGGAGUAACCUUUUAGGAGCUAGCCGUCGAAGGUGGGACAAAUGAUUGGGGUGAAGUCGUAACAAGGUAGCCGUAUCGGAAGGUGCGGCUGGAUCACCUCCUUUCUAAGGA